CCCUGAGAUAGAAGACAAAAAGGGAAAGACACUAUACGCACAGCUCAUCUUGCUGAAGACCGCCGGAUCUGAGAAUCUCAGGCAAAUAUAUAAGAAAAUUGUGCUACUCCAUCAUGGCACUUGAAUGGUUGACACAAGUGUUUGUUUCACUAUUUGGUAGUACUAUAUCACUAUUCUGGGAUGAGGAACUUUCUGAAUUUUUUCAAUACUUGCCUGAUGGUCUCAUUGUUGAUAUCAUCAGUAGACUUCCAAUAGAUACUCUUAUUAGAUGUCGAAGGGAAUGUAUGGAAAGCUAUAAUAUACAUGAAUACCGCUUGCAAGGGAACGGGAGAAAUUCUUAAUCUUUAGCUAAUGUUGAAUGCUUUACCAUGUUACGCAUCCCAGUUGAUCCAUGUCCUUUUUAUAAACUUGUAUCCAAUUUUCCAUGAGCUACACUCUCUCGAGAACAGAAGAUCAACAUGCGAGUUCAUAUUAUAAGUGUUAAUGAUGCUGCCUUGCUUGCUUGACAAAAUUACCGAAUGGAUGAAAAAUGCUUGUGUGGAUGACAGGUAGGUCAAUACAUCUUGAAUUGAUAUUAUGCUGCUGAUAGUACCUGGUCGUGUAUUACUCAAUAUCCAGCAUUUAAUGUCAAGGCUUACAAAGUACUCAAAAAUUUCAAUCAUUUUUAAGAGGAAUCUAUGGUCGCAAGAAGCAACAGUGCGACAAAAUGUUACUUAGUUAUAUUGACUGGCAUCAAGAGGAUGCUGAAAACAGUACAAAGAAAAUUAGGGAAAGCUCCUAGAUACAAAAACCUACAGAUAUAACAUUGAGCCAUUUCCCUAGAUGUGCAAAAAGUAUGGGUGCUAAGCCAAAGGCAAGGAGCUAAUGAAAUCUACAAGGGGAAUAACAACAGUUAAACUUCAGAGAAGAGUUAGGAGUUGAAAUCCCAUAAAAAACAUCUACGAUUUCUAUCCAUCCAGAUACUCCAAAAAAUGCAUGCUGGUAUCAUUUGCCAGAUCUUCGUGAUGGUUCUGUCAACUACCCAAAGGUUCCAGCUUUCCAUAGUUUCCUUAACAUUCCGCGGCACUACCCAACUAACCCCAGAAAUUGAUAAGAACAUGUUCCACAAAUCAGAUGCAACUGAGCAAUGCACAAGUAAAUGGUUGACUGUUUCUGAGCUAUGUUGGCUCAUAAAAGUUAAAACACCUGUUUGCUAGUUGAAACUUUCUUUUGCAAAGGCUGUCUUGAGUUAGGAUUGCCUCCCUGAUGGUUGUCCAUGUAAAGCAUAUGAUUUUACAGGGGAGUUAAGUGCUCCAAAUCAGCUUCCAAGGCCAGUGUUCAGUUACUUCAUUUUGAGCACACAAUUUACUGUAACCUGCCUUGACUGGCAAGAACCCUUACAUGAACUACUCCAUCUUAGCUUGUCACUGGCCCGGGGACUUAUUGUGCAAUCUUCUAAAAUUCUGUAAAGAUCAAAGAUCUCCUGUAGUUCCCAAUCUUGCAAAUUUCUUCUAAGGAGGAGGUUCCAUGAGGUUCCGGCUCUAUUUUGUGCUAUCAUACGGCACAAUCUAUUUACUCCAUUUACUGGAAACAUGAUGCUUAAUUCGAUACAUAAGUUAUCUUAUUUUAUCACUCACUCUUUGCAGUCCACUUAAAGAAUGAUUACAGGGUAAGUUCUACAUUAGGAGUCUUUUAUUACUGUUGUAGUCCCUAUUUGUCAGUAGUUUGACAGAUUCAAAAUCACGUUAGUAGCAUAAACAAAAUACGUUCACGUAGUAGUGUUCAAACAUGAUAAUUUUGAUCAGUUGCCGUCUCAAGUAUUAGGAGAGAUUUUGGUCAAAACUCUUGUCUACUCAUUAAUUAACCUUUGAUCUUUCGUAAGGUAUACAAUACAUAAUCACAACUCCUUGGUUACCACAAACAUGGAAAGUAUAAUAGUAUAUGGUUUAUCACUUUAAUCUUGAUAUUCUUUCUUCUUGUAAAGUAAUGACUACAGACUUCGGAACCAAAGAGCUUAUAGAAAAGUCAGAUAGGAGCACUUUAUGGCUGUGAAGACUUGUGACAUGACUGCCCAGCAGCCUCCAGGUGCCUUUUUAUAGAUCUUAAUCGCGGCAUGCUUGCUCGUCUGCUGGUGGCUAGAGUUGCCUUAUGCCAAACAAUUCUGAAACUGACUUUAAUAUGCUUAAACUUUUUCCUAUUAACUUAUUUUUUUGGCACUAGUGUAUUUACCCAUCAAAAGCUCUUCUGUUUCUCGCUGCAGAAUCCACAUAAGUGCCCAGGGGGAUGCAUUUUCUUUCUUUCUAACUUGCUUUGUAUCUUUUUGUCUCUGUGUCUAUCAAAGGCUGAUGCUCUUUUUGGUUCAAUUGGUAACGGGAACUUGAUUAUUCAGGUGCUAUUUGCAUGGAGGUCACCAGGCAGCAGUCUGAUUCAGAAUUUUUAUCACUUGUUAUUAGAAGUCUGAAGAAAGCAAAAGGCAGUUCUUCGAUGCCGCUACCCUUCAUCUCACUAAUACUGGCACAAGCAGAAGCUAUCCCCUCGGUUUGAAUCAAAGUGGGAAAAGAACCUCAUUGAGGAAUGGUGAUCUUGGCGACCAGGUUUGAUAUUUUGUUCUUUGGUAAUUCAUUUAUGUUUUAUUUAGAGCAGUUAAGUUUAGACUGGUUGAAAACUUUGCUCGAGUCAAUAUUGAGUGCAAUCGAGUAAUGGGUCUUUCACAAUCAGACUACCCACGCACUAUGGUAUUUGGUUAUAGAAGUUUGCCAUGUAGCUGACCCUUUUAGUUCAUUCUUGCCAGAGUGUGAGUUUACUUACCUAGUCAUCUUUAAUGGUUUUUUUUUUAAAAAAAAAAAAAACAAUAAGAUUUGGACUAAUGACAUUGGGGUUGAAAAUUCUGUUCUGAAGUUUCCACUUUCUUGCAUAGUGUUCGGCCAAGAAACAAGUUUACUUGUGUUAGUCCAUUGCCUCACCUCAUUCCAAAUCUAUGCAAUGCCAGUUUGUGCUAAUUUGGAGUUUCGGUGCACCAGCAACAAGAAACAACCCUGUCCAUGGUGGCUUAGAACAGGAUUGAGGAUAUUCUUUGGAUGCCUAGCAUUUUUCAUAUCAGUUGAAUUCCCUUUUUUGCCAAGUUUGGCUAGGCUAAUUAGUGCCAUUCCCAAGUUAUGGUACAAAUGUCUCUGUAUCACCUUAUGUCUACUUUAUCCUUUUCACCUAGGGUAUUUCUUGUUUUAAGUUAAAGCCUCUUUGAAUAGGCCUUAGUAGGAUUUAUUUUCUUACUUAUGUAAGUGCAAAGUCUCCCUUGUUUAUGUUAUCCUAGAUUGUCUUUGUUUGAGAGUAGUCUUCUCUUCUUAGAUGCACAGUAGGUCUAGGUUUCCUUUAUUAGUAUGGGGGAGGACUAGUCGACUCAUGAACCACCCUAGGACUGGUGGCAAGAUUUAUGUCCCUCUCCUUGUACUUUCUUUAAUUUUGUUAUUUAUGUCAAGGCUUGGGUGUGCGUGGCUCAACCCUGAGUGAGGGGUGAGAUCCUUGGGUUAGAUCCAUUUAAUAUUUUAGUUUUUGUUUUUCUUUAAAAAAAGAGUCGUUGCUUAUUUAAUUGAUUGAUUUGAGCUUAGAUGGCCCCCCUCCGUGUACUUUCUUUAAUUUUGUUAUUUAUGUUAAAGGCUUGUGUCUGUGUGGCUCAACCCCUGAUCGCCACGAGGGGUGAGAUCCUUGGGUCAGGUCUGUUUAAUUUUUUUUUUUAAAAAGUGCCGUGGCUUAUUAAUUGAUUGUUUGAUUGUUUGAACAUAGUAAUCUAGGUGCAUUAUUCAUAUUACAAAUUGUGGUGGUAUACAAUGAGUACAAUGCUAUUAAUGUUGCUAUUUAUCUGCAUUUUGGAAAGAGGUGGUUUACUUUGAUGCUAUGAAUUCUAAAAUCUUUGUUUAUAGAAGGGCAGAUCACAUGCCGAUACUAUUUAAGAGUCAAUAAAGCAAAACCUACCAAUAGUUUCUACUGAAUUAAGUGAGUAACUUACUCCUUUAUUUUCUCCAACUGGUUUUCCAAUUCCCCGAUUCACUCCCUCUUAACCAACUCCACGAUUUGCUCCACUUUUGCAUCUCUAGAAUGCUUCUCUCUUAUCAAGUUGAAUUAAACUCGAUCGGAACAAUUUGCAAGUAUGGAAGAUGGUAGCAACAUUUCAAUCGUGAUUCUACACGGCAGAAGAUGGGAUGUAUCAGGGAGAUACAAGGCAUUGUAAUUGACGGAAUCAUGUACGAUUCAAACACAAAAUAUAAUUGGUUAAGGCAAUUGCCAAGCAACUGGGUGUAGACACAACAAUAAAAGAGUUGGAGAUUAGUCAGCUUAUGAUCCAUGCAAGAAGAGCAGCUUUAUGUCCUCCACUCCACUUGUCCUGAUGAUUCCAUCUGGCAAUAUCUACCAGAUUUAAUUGACUAUCUUUCACAACCAUUGCUUAAAACAAGAAUAGGGCUGAAGGAUCAGUGAAGUUUUCAUGAAGAAUAAUUGAUCUUUGCAAACUCUGAAAUCAAACUCACAUUCAAAUUCAUUCUUGAGCAGAACCAAAGGAUUUGACAGAGGUAAUGGAAACAGAGCUGCAGAAAGCAGAAUUGACACCUUUUCCAUAGUGUAUUUAUGCUCUAGAGUGAUAUUCCUGGGCUUCCAAGAUUACAACCCAAUUGGGCAUAGCUGGUGCAGCCUUUUUCUCUGAGUCGUGCUACUACUGAUACCCACCCCGUGUACUGUAAGGUUUAUGAAAGAAUUCCUCUUUCCUUGCCUAUUUUUCUGAGCAUCACAGGAUUGCCAAAGCUCAGGUUUCCGAAUCUGCCCUCUCUUGGUUGUAGCACUGGUCGGUAUCCCCCAAUAAUCAUGCACAUACUUGGCCAGUUUGUCAACUUUGAAAAGGCUGACUGGGUCCUCUUUAACUCAUUCAAUAAAUUGGAAGAAGAGGUAGGUGCACCAUAUUCCCUUUGCUCUCAAGCAAAGCAGCACAUUAUGUUCUUAUGGGUGGUGAAACCUGAUGAACAGAGUAAGCUUCCAAGUGACUUCAUCAAAGAGACAUCGGGGAAGGGAUUGGUUGUGACAUGGUGCUCACAGUUAGAGGUAGUAGCACAUCAUACAAUCAGAUGCUUCAUAUCACACUGCAGAUGGAACUCAAACCUUAAGAGGCAAUAAGUUUUGGUGUGCCUAUAGUUGCAGGGCCACAAAUUUUAGAUCAGAUAAUCAACGCACAUUUUCUAGAGAAAGUUUGGGGUGCAGGGAAGUUUUAGGAAGGGGGGAGAGGGGACAAGAAGUUAAAAAGAAUGAAUAUUAUUAGCUUGAAACUUGAAAGAAUUGGCUAAGGAGACAAUUGACACAAGUGGAAAUUCAGACAAGCAUAUUGACGAGUUCAUUGAACAGCUUGAUCCAACCAAACAACAACUGAAAUUGUACAAUUAUUUAUCCGACUUGUGUGGUGAAGGUGAAGUAUAUUCUAUGUUUGAUUAAAUGGUCCUGCUGUUGCUUCAUACCAUAUCGGGCACAAAAUACGACGUAUAUAAAUUCUUUCAUAACCUAUUAUUUACGAGGAAAACAGAAUGUAGCAAUGAAACAUUGUACUUAUUUAGAUUAUUAUUAGUAAUUUCUAUGCAAAGAUUAAGUAGGUGUUUGCCGCAUAUGCAGUCAAACCUACAUCGUUUGUCCU
Molecule: long non-coding RNA, 5644 nt
Organism: Capsicum annuum
Lineage: Eukaryota; Viridiplantae; Streptophyta; Magnoliopsida; Solanales; Solanaceae
Exons: 6
Source: RefSeq, a predicted model, not a curated record